RNAcentral lists this transfer RNA (77 nucleotides) under Flavobacteriales bacterium. Its description in RNAcentral is "tRNA-Arg". It matches the Rfam family "tRNA". Rfam says of the family: Transfer RNA (tRNA) molecules are approximately 80 nucleotides in length. Their secondary structure includes four short double-helical elements and three loops (D, anti-codon, and T loops). Lineage: Bacteria; Pseudomonadati; Bacteroidota; Flavobacteriia; Flavobacteriales. The record is from RNAcentral.
GGCCUUGUAGUGUAGUUUGGAUAUCACUUCGGCUUGCGGAGCCGAUAACCGGGGUUCAAAUCCCCGCAGGGCCGCCA